This 69-nucleotide transfer RNA is filed under the name Nematalosa japonica. RNAcentral's name for it is "tRNA-His". It matches the Rfam family "tRNA". Rfam says of the family: Transfer RNA (tRNA) molecules are approximately 80 nucleotides in length. Lineage: Eukaryota; Metazoa; Chordata; Actinopteri; Clupeiformes; Clupeidae. The record is from RNAcentral.
GCAGGUAUAGUUUAAAAAAAAUGUUGGAUUGUGAUUCCAAGGACAGGAGUUAAAGCCUCCUUACCCGCC